UACGAAGGGGGCGAGCGUUGUUCGGAGUUACUGGGCGUAAAGGGCGCGUAGGCGGCGCUCCAAGUUAGGCGUGAAAGCCCCGGGCUUAACCUGGGAAUUGCGCUUAAGACUGGACUGCUUGAGUGCGGGAGAGGUGAGUGGAAUUCCCAGUGUAGAGGUGAAAUUCGUAGAUAUUGGGAAGAACACCAGUGGCGAAGGCGGCUCACUGGCCCGCAACUGACGCUGAGGCGCGAAAGCGUGGGGAGCAAACAGG
This 253-nucleotide ribosomal RNA is filed under the name uncultured bacterium. Its description in RNAcentral is "partial 16S ribosomal RNA". It matches the Rfam family "Bacterial small subunit ribosomal RNA", at positions 524 to 776 of the family's 1533-position model. The record is from RNAcentral.